Molecule: microRNA precursor, 58 nt
Filed under: Chrysemys picta bellii (western painted turtle)
Lineage: Eukaryota; Metazoa; Chordata; Testudines; Emydidae
Description: Cpi-Mir-1677-o7_pre stem-loop
Source: RNAcentral
UCCAGAGCCCAUUGAAGUCAGUGGGAGAUGUUCUAAUGACUCCAGAGGGCUUUGGAUC